AGCCACAUGGCAUAAUUGUUUUAGUGUUGGACUGCUACUCUGGAGACCAGGGUUCGAUUCCCAGCUUGGCCA
Phrynosoma platyrhinos (Desert horned lizard) is the source of this 72-nucleotide non-coding RNA. Lineage: Eukaryota; Metazoa; Chordata; Lepidosauria; Squamata; Phrynosomatidae. The record is from the annotation of a GenBank genome assembly.